This 512-nucleotide ribosomal RNA is filed under the name Gobio gobio (gudgeon). RNAcentral's name for it is "partial 16S ribosomal RNA". It matches the Rfam family "Bacterial large subunit ribosomal RNA", at positions 1854 to 2565 of the family's 2925-position model. The record is from RNAcentral. Lineage: Eukaryota; Metazoa; Chordata; Actinopteri; Cypriniformes; Gobionidae.
CAGCCUGCCCAGUGACUACGGGUUCAACGGCCGCGGUAUUUUGACCGUGCAAAGGUAGCGCAAUCACUUGUCUUUUAAAUAGAGACCUGUAUGAAUGGCCAAACGAGGGCUUAACUGUCUCCCCCUUCAAGUCAGUGAAAUUGAUCUAUCCGUGCAGAAGCGGGUAUAAUAAUACAAGACGAGAAGACCCUUUGGAGCUUAAGGUACAAAAUUCAGCCACGUUAAACAACUCCACAAAAAGCAAAAACUUAGUGGAAUAUGAAGUUUUACCUUCGGUUGGGGCGACCGCGGAGGAAAAUAUAGCCUCCAAGUGGAAUGGGGUAAACCCCUAAAACCAUGAGAAACAUCUCUAAGCCGCAGAACAUCUGACCAAAAAUGAUCCGGCCAAACAGCCGAUCAACGAACCAAGUUACCCUAGGGAUAACAGCGCAAUCCUCUCCCAGAGUCCAUAUCGACGAGGGGGUUUACGACCUCGAUGUUGGAUCAGGACAUCCUAAUGGUGCAGCCGCUAU